RNAcentral lists this ribosomal RNA (461 nucleotides) under uncultured bacterium. RNAcentral's name for it is "partial 16S ribosomal RNA". It matches the Rfam family "Bacterial small subunit ribosomal RNA", at positions 338 to 795 of the family's 1533-position model. The record is from RNAcentral.
CCUACGGGUGGCAGCAGUGAGGAAUAUAGGUCAAUGGGCGGGAGCCUGAACCAGCCAAGUCGCGUGAGGGAAGACGGUCCUAUGGAUUGUAAACCUCUUUAGGCGGGGAGCAAUGCCGGGCACGCGUGCCCGGAGGGAGAGUACCCGCAGAAUAAGCAUCGGCUAACUACGUGCCAGCAGCCGCGGUAAUACGUAGGUGGCAAGCGUUGUCCGGAUUUACUGGGUGUAAAGGGCGUGCAGCCGGGAAGACAAGUCAGAUGUGAAAUCCCGCGGCUCAACCGCGGAACUGCAUUUGAAACUGUUUUUCUUGAGUACCGGAGAGGUCAUCGGAAUUCCUUGUGUAGCGGUGAAAUUCGUAGAUAUUGGGUAGAACACCGGUGGCGAAGGCGGCUAUCUGGCCAUUUACUGACGCUGAGGCUCGAAAGCAUGGGGAUCAAACAGGAUUAGAUACCCUAGUAGUC